UCCGGUGGCUAUAGCGUAAGGGAUCCACCUCUUCCCAUUCCGAACAGAGAAGUUAAGCCUUAUUGCGCCGAUGGUACUGCCCCAAGCGGGUGGGAGAGUAGGACGUUGCCGGAU
RNAcentral lists this ribosomal RNA (114 nucleotides) under Bacteroidota bacterium. Lineage: Bacteria; Pseudomonadati; Bacteroidota. The record is from RNAcentral. RNAcentral also lists the same sequence under 2 other names.